Long non-coding RNA from Nematostella vectensis (starlet sea anemone), 1428 nucleotides. RefSeq lists it as uncharacterized. The transcript is spliced from 2 exons. The record is from RefSeq and is a predicted model, not a curated record. Lineage: Eukaryota; Metazoa; Cnidaria; Anthozoa; Actiniaria; Edwardsiidae.
ACUCCCAGGCCCCACUCGAUCUUACGCUUUUGUGUUUUUUACCGCCUCGCUUUGUGCUGCAAAGUUCGUAUGUUCACAGAAGAAUGGCAGCUUGAAAAUAGUAUUUAAUGAAAAAAUAAGCGGAUUCAAAUGGGCUGAAGUUUUUGAGGAAACAUUUGUCUGAAGUACGAGCCGAUGGAAAUUCCCGCCCGUGGCAGCAGCAGCAGCUAAAAAGAAGACUAAGAGGAGAGGCUCUACACUACCAUUCUAUAUUCAUUCACGUCUAUAUCUAUGUAAGGAGAUCCUGAGAGGAAAAGGCCUUGGAUUGAUGUCUGUUUUCAGCUAUAAAAAUCAUCCACUUGUGUGGACGAAUUCCUUGCUAGCAGAAAGAUCACGGUUUACAACAAAAAGCGAACACAGCCACUAGGCGACAAACAUAAAGCGACAAAAAAACACUGCCAAGGUUAAACCAACCAAGGACUACCCGAGGGUCAUGCUUGAUGCUAAAGGCUGGAGGACAUAAGAAUAGGCAAAUGUAGCCGAGCUUUCUUACUUUGAUACAGCAGUAUAAGUGUAAUAGGGUUUUUAGAGCAAGAUACUUUUGUGUCAAUGAUACUGUAAAUCUGUAAAACAUUUUUUUAUCAACCUGAAGAUAAUGAGGAAAGGGGAAAUGAUAGGAGAGUGCUCAAUCAAGUUGUUGCAAUACUGUUAAAGUUAUUAUCAAAAAUAUAGUCCCAGUUUCUUUUUUCUCUCUCUAUUGACUAUUUUUAUAUGCAAUUGAUAAUUAUUUGCUGUUUCCCCUCUGCACCCUGAAUAAAUUAAAAAUAGGUUAGGUUUGAAAUUAGACAUUUUCAUUUGGCACUGAUCAGUAAUAUCAAGGAUUUGUUUUUAAUUUGCUUCCCAAGUCAAUUUGUUCUCCUCCAUUUGAUUGCAUUUACUUUUGUAGUAGAAUUAGCAUAUGUGGAUCCAGCUGCAGGGUUUCUAUAAAAUAAAAAUAAAAACAGCAGGCCACCAUGCUAAAGGGUGGGUUCACCAAUAUGUAAUGCAUGACUGAGGUAUAUUUGUGGAUUUUAAUUUCCUUGGUGAUGGAGUAUCACUAGUAAGUGGCACCUGAAGUGUAUCUAGCUAUAUCAUUCUAUAUUUGGAAUGCUGUUUCAUCCAUUAUUUGUUUUUUUGCAAGGGCAAAGCCGGUCGGAAUGCACCUAGUGAUAGUGUAUUAGUGUACAUGAAUGGAACUUCUAUAUAAGGGGUUUUUAUUAGGGCAAGGUACUUACUUAAUAAAUUAUAUAAAGAAUAACAAACUUGUGCUUUUCAAUAAUAAAUCUAUAAAGAAAACAGUUUUAUAUCAAACUAAAGGUAAUAGGAAAAGGUGAAAAUGUUAGGAAAGUGCUCAGUCAAGCUAUUAUUGCAUUUUUGUCAUAUAUUUUUUUAAAGUAAAUUCACAUUUUU